UGAGUUUGAUCCCUGGCUCAGAUUGAACGCUGGCGGCAGGCCUAACACAUGCAAGUCGAGCGGCAGCACGGGUACUUGUACCUGGUGGCGAGCGGCGGACGGGUGAGUAAUGCCUAGGAAUCUGCCUAGUAGUGGGGGAUAACGUCCGGAAACGGGCGCUAAUACCGCAUACGUCCUACGGGAGAAAGUGGGGGAUCUUCGGACCUCACGCUAUUAGAUGAGCCUAGGUCGGAUUAGCUAGUUGGUGAGGUAAUGGCUCACCAAGGCUACGAUCCGUAACUGGUCUGAGAGGAUGAUCAGUCACACUGGAACUGAGACACGGUCCAGACUCCUACGGGAGGCAGCAGUGGGGAAUAUUGGACAAUGGGCGAAAGCCUGAUCCAGCCAUGCCGCGUGUGUGAAGAAGGUCUUCGGAUUGUAAAGCACUUUAAGUUGGGAGGAAGGGCAGUUACCUAAUACGUGAUUGUUU
Molecule: ribosomal RNA, 469 nt
Filed under: Pseudomonas fluorescens
Lineage: Bacteria; Pseudomonadati; Pseudomonadota; Gammaproteobacteria; Pseudomonadales; Pseudomonadaceae
Description: bacterial SSU rRNA
Rfam family: Bacterial small subunit ribosomal RNA
Source: RNAcentral